This 78-nucleotide microRNA precursor is filed under the name Trichobilharzia regenti. Its description in RNAcentral is "mir-3492 microRNA precursor family". It matches the Rfam family "mir-3492 microRNA precursor family". The record is from Rfam by way of RNAcentral. Lineage: Eukaryota; Metazoa; Platyhelminthes; Trematoda; Strigeidida; Schistosomatidae.
AUCCCUCUGUGUUCGUGCUGAGAUUUCGUCAGAGAUCAACCCAUUGGGUCUGAUGCAACUUCCAAAAUAAGUGAAGCG